CCCACUGAGGGGAGGGAAGCGGGGUGCUGGCUUGGGACUGCCUGGAAGGGAUUUUGGAGUCUGCUUUGGAGAUGGGGAUGUCUAAGAAGUGUCUCGUUAGGCCACCUAAAGGGAAAGUGUCUCUUUUGAUCUCAGUGCUGAGGUGCGCAGGGCAGAGCAGUUCCGGUGUGUGUCGUGUCACUUGUCUCUUGUGCAUUCUGUGUUGUUUGGGUCUGUCACGUCGCUUGUCUUUUUUUACCUUAGCUGUCUGAGGGUCAUCUUGGCAUCUGUGAUCUUUGCGUUCCUUGGACCAGCCCCAGCGCCACAGGCCUUUUGACUCGGGAGUCCCGACAGGCAUCGCAGUCGUAUCUGUCUUUAGAAGCAUCCGGUCAGAUGUCUUUUAAGGUCUCGUUCCGAGCGGUAGCGACAGCCGCGCACCCCAACGAUCCAUUAUAGCGGCUUAGGACUCGUGAGAAUGCCAAGCUAGGUAGCUCAUUCUUACCGUAGGCUUUUCAGGCAUCCGCUUGUGCAGUUCUCGGAAGACAUCGUUUUCUUAGCAUCUUCUUCCUGCAGGGUUCUUUGAGCCUCAUCAGCUCCGAGCCGUCCGUCUCACCUAGGUCAUCUCGUUCCGCAAUCUCUCUGUCCUCGCGGGCAUUUUUCUUGCCAAGAGAUUUUUCUCCUCGUGGCGUCCCCUCGUUUGUCGUGUCCUGUCCUGUGUCACGGGUGUCUGCACAUAUUUGUCCCGGAGCUGCUCUGUCCUGCUGCAUAGCCUGGUGUAAUUGCACAAGUCCUGGAGACCUGCAAUUGGGAAUGGGGGAUGUAGUUGUAUUCUAGAUGAUACAGGAUCUAGAUCACACAGGAUCCUUGGACCUGUUAAGUUAUCCUACAGUUGUUUGAAUUUUCUCCUAACUUUCUUUCAGAUGCAGACAUUUAAGAUCUGUGGCAGAGCGCCCCUCCUGGGUCAGGGGGUUUUCCCUGAGAAGGAAGUCCAGGCAGAUAGCUGCAGUCAAGGCCAAGUGUGUCAGGCAGUCCUCUUGCGAGAUGUCUCUGAUCCCAGAUGUCUGAGGCCAGGUGUCAUUGCUGCCCUAGGCGUGUGAAGGAACAGAGUCAAGCGGGUAUCCUCCUGGCAGCCUGUUGAGUCGCGUCAAGAUUUCAGGUCCCCGGGUCCCUACACGUUAUCCCGGAAUCUACCGCUGGACAUCAAAGAGCCGCGGUCAGAAGAUGCGUCAAAGCGUCAGCGUAGCGUUUCAAGUAAGGGUCGCAGUCAGCGUGUAAGCGGAAGAGCGUGUGAGAGAGCGUGAUUGUCCGUGUCUGUCUGUGAGAGCUUGUGUCUGCAGGUGUGAGUGUGUGUUGACCGGUUCUAACCUUGUGCGUAUGGCCUUUGCCUUUCAGGUUUUUCAGCUCAUUUUUAAAUUUAGAAUAAAAAAUCCCCAGCCAGGGCUUUUUUUUUUUUUCCCCCCGGCUGGGUUUUUUUUCCUCUGUCCCGGCCAGUCCGCGAGGCGACGUUCAUCGCCAAAGUUUGAAGGCGGACCGUCCUGGGACCGGGGUUUUCGUCAGGCAGGAGGAUUUUUUUGGAGGCUCCCGGGAACCACGUUCCCGAGGAACAACGAUUGCCGGGGCGUAACGGAGCGGUUGAAACGAGAGCGACAGUGAGUUUGCGUGCAAUGUGAAGGAGGUGGUCACGGUGGAUGACUGUUGUUUUCUGUAUGCUAUUUUUGUUUUGGUCUUUCCUCUAACAAUCAAACAAAAUGUAAUGUAAAUAGAAAAAAGGUUAUAUUGUGUUAAUAUGCGUUUGGUUUCUAUUGCCCCGUAUUGUUCCGUGUUUGCAUUUGCCGCCGCAUUUCCACAUACGGCUCCGUACGUAAGUCGGAUUUCUACCGGUCAGCGUACGGAUUGUAUCUACGCUCCCAUUUGUAUACAUCGUUUCCAUGUGUUUUGCUGGAGUGUAAAUAAAAAAAAUUAUUCAUUAAAGUUGAAUCAACCCUAAUAAUGAUGCCCCCCGCUCCCUCCCCCUCCCCCUUUGGCUCCUGUGUUUUUUUGGUGUGGUUUAGUCAUUUUUAUUUUUCCCCACUGUAUUUCUUCCUUUGCUUCUUCUCUUAGUUUUCUUUCUGUCACGUCAUUUCUGUCCGUCCCUAACUUUGUUUCUGUUUCUCACUGUUUCUAACUCUCUCUCUCUCUGCUUCUCUAUUUCCCUGUAUGUCUUUUCUUCUGUUUCUCUGUUUCACUAUUUCUAUUUAUUUUUCUCUCUAGUUGAUGCUUUUACUCUUUAUUUCUUUUUCUCUCCAGCUUCUCUUCUUUUUUUUCUCUAUUCUUUUGUCCUCUUUUUCACUCUCACCCUCUUUCUUUUUCACUGUAACCCUUCUCAUUUUUUACUCUUUGCCAUUCUUUUCCUAUUUCUUUUCGUCUCUUAAGUAGUCUCUUAAGUAGUCUCUUAAGUAGUCUCUUAAGUCUGUCUUUUUCUUUCUUUCCAUCUUUUCAUUUCUAACUUUGUUUCCCUUUCUAGCUUUCAAAAAGCAGCAGUAGAAACUUUCAGGCUCCCUGGGAGUAAAACAAAAAACAAACUUUAAAUAAUUAUUAAAAAAAAAAGAAUUUACUCCCCGGGAGCCUGAAACUUUCUACUGCUGCACCGGACAUAUAGUUUUUCUUCUUUUUUAUAUAUACCUAUACAACCCCUAAUUAGUGCUCCACCUGCCACAUUACAAUACCCACUACCCACAUCACCCCCACCAUGUAGACACCGCCAUCUUGCUCCCCAUCACGUGACCCGAUGGACGCCACCAUCUUGCUCCCUGUCACAUGACCACACGGAUGCCGCCAUUUUGUAGA
This is a long non-coding RNA of Vidua chalybeata, 2805 nucleotides long. RefSeq lists it as uncharacterized. NCBI's taxonomy places the organism in Eukaryota, Metazoa, Chordata, Aves, Passeriformes, Viduidae. The record is from RefSeq and is a predicted model, not a curated record. The transcript is spliced from 6 exons.